RNAcentral lists this ribosomal RNA (432 nucleotides) under uncultured bacterium. RNAcentral's name for it is "partial 16S ribosomal RNA". It matches the Rfam family "Bacterial small subunit ribosomal RNA", at positions 338 to 795 of the family's 1533-position model. The record is from RNAcentral.
CCUACGGGAGGCAGCAGUAGGGAAUAUUGGUCAAUGGAGGCAACUCUGAACCAGCCAUUCCGCGUGCAGGAAUAAGGCCUAUGGGUCGUAAACUGCUUUUGUAUGGGAAAUGGUACCAUGAGAAUAAGGAUCGGCUAACUUCGUGCCAGCAGCCGCGGUAAUACGAAGGAUCCAAGCGUUGUCCGGAUUUACUGGGUUUAAAGGGUGCGUAGGCGGGGAAUUAAGUCAGUGGUGAAAGCUGGUAGCUCAACUAUCAAAUUGCCAUUGAAACUGAUUUUCUCGAGUACGGUUGAGGUAGCUGGAAUGUAACAUGUAGCGGUGAAAUGCUUAGAUAUGUUACAGAACACCAAUUGCGAAGGCAGGCUACUAAACCGUACUGACGCUGAGGCACGAAAGCGUGGGGAUCAAACAGGAUUAGAUACCCUAGUAGUC